GACGAACGCUUGCGGCGUGCUUAACAUAUGCAAGUCGAACGGAAAGGCCCUGCUUUUGGGGGGUGCUCGAGUGGCGAACGGGUGAGUAACACGUGAGUAACCUGCCCUUGACUUUGGGAUAACUUCAGGAAACUGGGGCUAAUACCGGAUAGGAGCUCCUGCUGCAUGGUGGGGGUUGGAAAGUUUCGGCGGUUGGGGAUGGACUCGCGGCUUAUCAGCUUGUUGGUGGGGUAGUGGCUUACCAAGGCUUUGACGGGUAGCCGGCCUGAGAGGGUGACCGGCCACAUUGGGACUGAGAUACGGCCCAGACUCCUACGGGAGGCAGCAGUGGGGAAUAUUGCACAAUGGGCGGAAGCCUGAUGCAGCAACGCCGCGUGCGGGAUGACGGCCUUCGGGUUGUAAACCGCUUUCGCCUGUGACGAAGCGUGAGUGACGGUAAUGGGUAAAGAAGCACCGGCUAACUACGUGCCAGCAGCCGCGGUGAUACGUAGGGUGCGAGCGUUGUCCGGAUUUAUUGGGCGUAAAGGGCUCGUAGGUGGUUGAUCGCGUCGGAAGUGUAAUCUUGGGGCUCAACCCUGAGCGUGCUUUCGAUACGGGUUGACUUGAGGAAGGUAGGGGAGAAUGGAAUUCCUGGUGGAGCGGUGGAAUGCGCAGAUAUCAGGAGGAACACCAGUGGCGAAGGCGGUUCUCUGGGCCUUUCCUGACGCUGAGGAGCGAAAGCGUGGGGAGCGAACAGGCUUAGAUACCCUGGUAGUCCACGCUGUAAACGGUGGGUACUAGGUGUGGGGUCCAUUCCACGGGUUCCGUGCCGUAGCUAACGCUUUAAGUACCCCGCCUGGGGAGUACGGCCGCAAGGCUAAAACUCAAAGGAAUUGACGGGGCCCCGCACAAGCGGCGGAGCAUGCGGAUUAAUUCGAUGCAACGCGUAGAACCUUACCUGGGUUUGACAUGGAUCGGGAGUGCUCAGAGAUGGGUGUGCCUCUUUUGGGGUCGGUUCACAGGUGGUGCAUGCCUGUCGUCAGCUCGUGUCGUGAGAUGUUGGGUUAAGUCCCGCAACGAGCGCAACCCUUGUUCACUGUUGCCAGCACGUUAUGGUGGGGACUCAGUGGAGACCGCCGGGGUCAACUCGGAGGAAGGUGGGGAUGACGUCAAGUCCUCAUGCCCCUUAUGUCCAGGGCUUCACGCAUGCUACAAUGGCUGGUACAGAGAGUGGCGAGCCUGUGAGGGUGAGCGAAUCUCGGAAAGCCGGUCUCAGUUCGGAUUGGGGUCUGCAACUCGACCUCAUGAAGUCGGAGUCGCUAGUAAUCGCAGAUCAGCAACGCUGCGGUGAAUACGUUCCCGGG
This 1343-nucleotide ribosomal RNA is filed under the name uncultured bacterium. RNAcentral describes it as "16S ribosomal RNA". It matches the Rfam family "Bacterial small subunit ribosomal RNA", at positions 28 to 1378 of the family's 1533-position model. The record is from RNAcentral.